RNAcentral lists this ribosomal RNA (423 nucleotides) under uncultured prokaryote. Its description in RNAcentral is "bacterial SSU rRNA". It matches the Rfam family "Bacterial small subunit ribosomal RNA", at positions 355 to 774 of the family's 1533-position model. The record is from RNAcentral.
UAAGGAAUAUUGGGCAAUGGACGCAAGUCUGACCCAGCCAUGCCGCGUGAAGGAUGAAUGUCCUAUGGAUUGUAAACUUCUUUUAUGCAGGAAAAAUAUCCUGGUCGUGAACCGGGAUUGAUGGUAAUGUACGAAUAAGCAUCGGCUAACUCCGUGCCAGCAGCCGCGGUAAUACGGAGGAUGCGAGCGUUAUCCGGAUUCAUUGGGUUUAAAGGGUACGUAGGUGGCCCGGUAAGUCAGUGGUGAAAACCUGCCGCUUAACGGUAGGCGUGCCAUUGAUACUGUCGGGCUUGAGUGCAGUUGAGGCAGGCGGAAUGUGUAGUGUAGCGGUGAAAUGCAUAGAUAUUACACAGAACUCCGAUUGCGAAGGCAGCUUGCUAAAGUGCAACUGACGCUGAUGUACGAAAGCGUGGGGAUCGAACA